Acomys russatus (golden spiny mouse) is the source of this 143-nucleotide small nucleolar RNA. RefSeq annotates it as small nucleolar RNA SNORA48. The record is from RefSeq and is a predicted model, not a curated record. The transcript has a single exon. Lineage: Eukaryota; Metazoa; Chordata; Mammalia; Rodentia; Muridae.
ACCCCUUGCAAUGAGCAAAGAGACACCUUAUUGGUGGCAUUGUUCUUAUAUCAGUCAGGGGCAGAGCAGACCGGAGUCCUUUGUUCAUCCUAGCUUGAUUCCUGGCUUGGUGGCCAAAGGUAUUUUAUGCCUAAGACACUUAA